UACGUAGGGUGCAAGCGUUGUCCGGAAUUAUUGGGCGUAAAGAGCGUGUAGGCGGCCUGUUAAGUCUUGCGUGAAAUCCCUCGGCUUAACCGAGGAACUGCGUCUGAUACUGGAUGGCUUGAAUCCGGGGGAGGGAUGUGGAAUUCCAGGUGUAGCGGUGAAAUGCGUAGAUAUCUGGAGGAACACCGGUGGCGAAGGCGGCAUCCUGGACCGGUAUUGACGCUGAGGAGCGAAAGCCAGGGGAGCAAACGGG
This 253-nucleotide ribosomal RNA is filed under the name uncultured bacterium. RNAcentral's name for it is "partial 16S ribosomal RNA". It matches the Rfam family "Bacterial small subunit ribosomal RNA", at positions 524 to 776 of the family's 1533-position model. The record is from RNAcentral.